RNAcentral lists this ribosomal RNA (433 nucleotides) under uncultured Anaerovorax sp. Its description in RNAcentral is "partial 16S ribosomal RNA". It matches the Rfam family "Bacterial small subunit ribosomal RNA", at positions 341 to 792 of the family's 1533-position model. The record is from RNAcentral. Lineage: Bacteria; Bacillati; Bacillota; Clostridia; Peptostreptococcales; Anaerovoracaceae.
ACGGAAGGCAGCAGUGGGGAAUAUUGCACAAUGGGGGAAACCCUGAUGCAGCAACGCCGCGUGAAGGAUGAAGGCCUUUGGGUCGUAAACUUCUGUUCUAAGGGAAGAUAAUGACGGUACCUUAGGAGCACGUCCCGGCUAACUACGUGCCAGCAGCCGCGGUAAUACGUAGGGGGCAAGCGUUAUCCGGAAUUAUUGGGCGUAAAGAGUGCGUAGGUGGUUUCCUAAGCAUGGGGUUUAAGGCAAUGGCUUAACCAUUGUUCGCCCCAUGAACUGGGUUACUUGAGUGCUGGAGAGGAAAGCGGAAUUCCUGGUGUAGCGGUGAAGUGCGUAGAUAUUAGGAGGAACACCAGUGGCGAAGGCGGCUUUCUGGACAGUUACUGACACUGAGGCACGAAAGUGUGGGGAGCAAACAGGAUUAGAUACCCUGGUA